GGUGGUGAAUCUGUGGAAUUCAUUGCCACAGACGGCUGUGGAGGCCAAGUCAAUGGAUAUUUUUUAAGGUGAAGUUUGACAAAUUCUUGUUUAGUAAGAGUGUCAGGGAAUGAAAAAGGCAGGAGAAUG
Molecule: long non-coding RNA, 129 nt
Organism: Amblyraja radiata (thorny skate)
Lineage: Eukaryota; Metazoa; Chordata; Chondrichthyes; Rajiformes; Rajidae
Exons: 3
Source: RefSeq, a predicted model, not a curated record